This is an RNA transcript of Esox lucius (northern pike), 1981 nucleotides long. It is a transcript of the gene named RNA-binding protein 4.1, with no coding region annotated. The record is from RefSeq and is a predicted model, not a curated record. The transcript is spliced from 6 exons. Lineage: Eukaryota; Metazoa; Chordata; Actinopteri; Esociformes; Esocidae.
GGCCCAUGCCGCAUUUGUUCAGAAAACGGAAGUGAGGUCGUUUUCUGUGUUUCUCUGACAUCGUGUUUCGGUCGGUCGUACUAGUCGUGAGGCUUAUUGAUAUAAAAAUGGUGAAGAUCUUUAUUGGAAACCUCCCUAAUGAGGUGGAAAAAGAUGAGAUCGAGGCACUGUUUACUCAGCAUGGCACUGUGACAGAAUGUGCAAAGUUCAAAAACUAUGCCUUCGUCCACAUGGACGACCGCAAGUCCGCCACAAAAGCCAUCCGCAGCCUGCACCUUUUCAAGCUACACGGGAGGCCAAUCAAUGUGGAGCCGAGCAGGGGGAAAAACCAGGGUCCGGUGAAACUUCAUGUGGCCAAUGUGGAGAAAGGCAAUGACGAUGAGUUGCGUGCGCUGUUUGAGGAGUACGGAACAGUCACAGAAUGCGCCAUUGUCAAGAACUUCGCCUUCGUUCACAUGUCCAACUCGGACGAGGCAAAGGAUGCCAUCAAAGGGUUGGACAACACCGACUUCCAAGGCAAACGGAUUCAUGUUCAGAUAUCAAAGAGUCGCCCCAGGGGGGAGGAAGAUGAUUACGGUCCGCCUCCCCCACCCGAUCGGGGUGGUUACUGGCCCCCACCCCGUGGCUUCCCAGGGGACAGGGAGCCACCCCAUUACAGAGGGCGCAUGCCUGGAGGGUUCCCUGGCCCCCCUCCACCGCCACCUCCCCCUAGGCGAAACCCUUAUGCCCCCGAGCGCCCUUACGAUCGCGAGAGGGAAGGCUAUGGCGUGGUGGAUUACUAUGAGAAGUACAGAGCUCGCCCUGCCCCUUAUGGCGCCAUCCCGGGUUAUGGAGAUGACAGGCGGGUCGGCACCAUACCCCCUCCGCCGCCCCCUUCAGUCAUGGUCCGGGAGCGCCUUGCAGCCACCACCCUAAAUUCGUACGAGCGCCGCCCCAUACCCCCUCCGUCCUCUUACUACCCCCGUGACCGGAGUCCCCUCAGAAGACCACCUCCCCCCGUUGCCCCUGCGGGGAAUGGCUACUCGUACGAGCGCUCCCGGCUCUCUCCGGUGUCCCGGCCUGCGAUGUACAACCUACCCCGGACCAGGGACCCCUACGCAGAUAGGGUUCCUCCUCCGCCCCCUGCCCGCUACACUUACUGAAGACACAUUGGUGGUUGGAUCAAGGUCGUUAGACCCAUGAUCUGCUGAUAGGUGUUGUGGGGACAGUGUAGGAGACUGCUGUGCCUAGGUAAGUAAGCCGGGGUGUCAUGUCCUACAACGAAGAUGUAGGAGGUAAUGUUAAUCUUUACAGAUUCAUGCUUUAUAGACUGAGAAUGGAUUGUGUGUACUUCACGUCCUGUUUUGAGGACACUUCCAACAUUUAGUGUCUUGAGGUUCUUAGUCUGUCCAACUCGUCCCCAUCUUAUUUCUCAUCUUCCUCUUUUAGGCCACUUUGAGCUGGAUGUACGGAAGUGGAGUUCUGCUUAAGGUAUUGGCAUAUAGAUUUUGCAGAAUCGGUAAACUGAUGUUGAUGUAAAAACAAACGUGGAACUAUUGGAAUGUUACAUCACUGCCCCUUAUUUUUGUACUGCAGCAAUGGAAUCGUUUCAUGUGGGGUGAUUUGACUUGAAUAUAGUGCAGGGUCGGCAGCUGGUCCUAAAUUCCUGGUGGUCCUGAAGCCCUGACCCGGCUUGUCAGGAUUGUAUGCUGUGAAUGGCUUCCACGGCCACCCGGUCAGAUGGAUCUGUAUGUAGGAGCUGCAGUAGCACGCCGUCAGUGAAGGCUUUGAGCGAGCCCAUCUCGAAGAAAGAUCACUGACUACCACAUGACAGUAGUUAUCUCCUGACCAAAUAGGUUUUCUCAAGUUCAUUUGGUUACAUUGACCUUUGACAUUUGACUCAUGUGUUUGUGUUAUCAUGCUGCAAUGCAAAGACAUUACAACUCAAAAGCACUGUAUUAAAAUAUUGCAUUUGCCUAACCAAUAAAGUAUUUUUAUUAAC